AUCCGAUUUUGGCGAAACUUAAAAUAUAGGCCUAUCUCCUAAAGAUCUCGGUUCCUUUUGAUAUUGACAUGUAUCGGAUCAUAACUUCAUGGAUUAUGGCUCCUGAUUGUACGAAAAAUCACGUUUUUAGCUUGUGUCGACACUCUAGAGGUCACAAUUUUGAUCCGAUUUUGAUAAAACUUGAAAUGCAUGUUUAUAACCCAAAGAUCUUGAUUCCUUUCAAUAUUCGCGCAUAUCGAAUCGUAACUUCCUGAAUUAUGGCCCUUGAUUGUACGAAAAAUCGCGUUUUGAGACUGUGGUCCCUAUAUAGGUCCCAAAUCCCAUAUUCGCGUAUAUCGAUUCGUAACUGCCUGGAUUAUGGCCCCUGACUGUACGAAAAAUCUCGCGUUUUUAGCUUGUGGUCUCUCCAGAGGUCACAAUUUUUAUCCGAUCUAAAAAACCGUUUUAUUUUAUCACCGUUACAUCCUUAUGAUGGUCGAGUUCGAAUUUCGUGAAAAUCAGACCAAAACUGUCGGACAAAAUGACCGCCCUUUUUACGCAAAUAGUGCAAACAUCUGGUAUAUCAAGGUUGUGAGACUCCUAGCGGUCCCAAUUUUGAUCCGAUUUUGAUAAAACUUGAAAUGCAUGUUCAUAACCCAAAGAUCUUGAUUCCUUUCAAUAUUCGCGCAUAUCGAAUCGUAACUUCCUGAAUUAUGGCCCUUGAUUGUACGAAAAAUCGCGUUUUGAGACUGUGGUCCCUAUAUAGGUCCCAAAUCCCAAUUUUUAUCCGAUUUAAAAAAAAACCCCAACAAAACCAUGUGAAUAAUAUUAUAUCACAGUUAUACACUAAUGAUGGUUGACUUCGAAUUUCGGGAAAAUCGGACUAAAACUGACGGACAUAAUGGCCGCCCCUUGUACGCAAAUAGUGUAAAAAUGUAAAAAUAUGGUAUAAGGUUGUUGACCCUCUAGAGGCCACACUUUUUAUCCGAUUUGGAUGAAACUUUAAAUACAUGUUUUUUAUCAUAAAGAUCUUGGUUGCUUUUGAUAAUCACACAUAUCCGAACGUAACCUCCUGGAUUAUGGUCGAAAAAUCGCAUUUUUAGCUGGUGGAUUCUCUAGAGGUCACAAUGUUUUUUCCGAUUUUUAAAACCGUUUGGAUUUUUUACCAUUCCGUCAUAAUAAAGGUUGAAUUCGAAUUUCGGGAAAAUCGAAAUGAAACUGCCCGACAAAAUGGCCGCUCUUUGUACGCAAAUUGUGUAUAAGUACAUGUAUGUAAUACAGAGGUUAUGGACCCUCUAGAGGUCACAAUUUUUUAUCGGAUUUUGAUGAAACUUAAAACAUAUCUUUAUAUUCCAAAAAUCUCAGCCCCUUUUGAUAUUUGCGCAUUUCAGAACAUAACUUUCUGGAUUAUGGCCCCUGACCCCCUGUCACGGUCGUAUUUCAUUAGUGUCACUAUGGGUCGCCCAAACUCUGCCGCGUGGCUCGCCCAAACUAUUUACCUGUAAUAUUAAGGCUCGCCCAAACUGUCUACCUUCAAUGCACGUGCAUACAGGUAGUAUAUAAACCCGAGAAUCGGGCAGGUUUAGGAGAUGGAUUAUGAAAGUUGGGUUGGAGGACUCGAUACUGCCAUCGGGUACUUGGGUCCCCUUUUGGGUACCUACUGACGGAUGGUAACUGUUCACUUCUGGAGUCGCCGAUAAAUGGUAUCGUCGAUGUAUGGCCUUGCCGAUGGGUGGACUGUUCUGUAAAUGGUAUCGUCUAUGAUAGUCGCCGAUAAAUGGUAUCGUCGAUGUAUGGUCUUGCCGAUGGGUGGACUAUUCUGUGAAUGGUAUCGUCUAUGAUUAGUCGCCGAUAAAUGGUAUCGUCGAUGUAUGGUGUUGCCGAUGGGUGGACUGUUUGUUCUGUGAAUGGUAUCGUCUAUGAUUAGUCGCCGAUAAAUGGUAUCGUCGAUGUAUGGUCUUGCCGAUGGGUGGACUGUUCUGUGAAUGGUAUCGUCUAUGAGUCGCCGGUAAAUGGUAUCGUCGAUAUAUGGUCUUGCCGAUGGGUGGACACUGUGUUAUGGGAAUGGUAUCGCCUGAGUGGUCGCUGAACAAUGGCAUCGUCGAUGUAUGGUAUUUGUUAAAUGGUGUCGAUAUAUGGUGAUGCUGACGGAUGGACAUUUUUCCCUAGCUUCAUAAUUUAUAUAGUGCGCGCACUUAAAGUGUUCAUUGUUAUAUUGUAUUUUGAGUUAUAUAAAAUGAAUUCUUUUGUA
Long non-coding RNA from Patella vulgata (common limpet), 2230 nucleotides. RefSeq lists it as uncharacterized. The record is from RefSeq and is a predicted model, not a curated record. Lineage: Eukaryota; Metazoa; Mollusca; Gastropoda; Patellidae. The transcript has 2 exons.